This 209-nucleotide ribosomal RNA is filed under the name uncultured bacterium. RNAcentral's name for it is "partial 16S ribosomal RNA". It matches the Rfam family "Bacterial small subunit ribosomal RNA", at positions 135 to 334 of the family's 1533-position model. The record is from RNAcentral.
UGAUGGGGAUAACAGUUGGAAACGACUGCUAAUACCGAAUACGCUCAUGAUGAACUUUGUGAGGAAAGGUGGCCCCUGCUUGCAAGCUAUCGCAUAGAGAUGAGUCCGCGUCCCAUUAGCUAGUUGGUGGGGUAACGGCCUACCAAGGCAACGAUGGGUAGCCGAUCUGAGAGGAUGAUCGGCCACACUGGAACUGAAACACGGUCCAG